RNAcentral lists this long non-coding RNA (937 nucleotides) under Pongo abelii (Sumatran orangutan). RNAcentral's name for it is "lncRNA (ENSPPYG00000031222.1)". Lineage: Eukaryota; Metazoa; Chordata; Mammalia; Primates; Hominidae. The record is from RNAcentral.
AGUCACCUCUCACCCAGAGCCUGGCAAAUUCAGUCUCUUUCACAGAACCUAAAGCCAAGCCAGGUUCAAUGGGAAAUCCCACCUGUCCAAACACUGUGUGAGACACCAGAAUUAGAGGCCUGCAAGCCUGCUUCCUUCAUCUCCAAUGCCCAGAUGGGACAGGUCACCAGCCUCCUGUGUCUACCCCCACCUUUCUUGCUUGCUGUGCCUCUCUCAUCCCUGCAAUCCAGACAGCACAUGCAGCAGCUCAAAUAAGUGCCACCUCUGGAUGUGAAAAACAAGACCCAGAGAGGGGAAAUCAUUUGAAUCCUGUACUGGUAUUGCUUUGUGUUCCUGGAUUUGGAGAAUUUCUGGGAACACAGGAAAAGGAAAGACAGGAUGAGAAGAACUCUCCUCAGAUCCCUCCAAAACAGUUUGGAAAGAAUUUAUCUAGGACCCCUUGCCUACUUCUAAGGGCCCCAGAGGUGUCAGCAGGGGAGGAAGACUGUGCCAAGGGGCUGGAAAGGAAGAUUCUCUUGUUGGGAGAGGAGAUAAAAGCCUGAAAGUGGUGACAAGGCAGAGGGUGAAGUUUGGGAACUGAGACCUGUAGUCCCACCUGUGGGGCUGGCUGCCUAAUGUGUGGCAGAACAUUUAGAGUAAGUAUUGUUUGUAGGACUUAUUAAAUGGCUGCUGUUUACAGAGCUGCUGUUUCUACUGUGGAACACACAGCAGUGGAAAGGAGCAUGCAUUGAAGGAGAAAGGGUGGCAGGCUUUCUGUAAGCCCUCUUUUUCACCCUUUGUCCAUCCCUACUCCAACAUAUUGCAGUCAUGUUAGAGCUAGGGCUAAAAGGCCCUAAAAGCAUUCAGUCUAUAUUCUGGGUGUUUCUCCAAGGAACAGAGCCUCCUUUCUUGUAACUCCUGUCAGAUCUGCCUCCCACUCCUAAGGCUUUUUUGUUUG